This 1512-nucleotide long non-coding RNA is filed under the name Capra hircus (goat). RNAcentral describes it as "lncRNA (ENSCHIG00010023660.1)". Lineage: Eukaryota; Metazoa; Chordata; Mammalia; Artiodactyla; Bovidae. The record is from RNAcentral.
AUGGAUCCACAUUGUCUCAGCUGCUGCUGUGUCACCAGAGGCUGCAAAGUUCUCAGAGUUCAAGCACUGACAGUCUCAUCUGUGCAUCUGAGGGUAGGCUGGGCCCAGAGGGUAGCUCUGCUUCUCAUUCAGAACUGCGCUCAGCUGAGAUGCUUCAGCCAUAUGUGUUUCUCAUCCUUCCACUACGAGGGUACUAAUGAGCAUUUUCUCCUCAUGAUGGCGCAUUUGUGCAUACGUGGCGGGUUCUUUACCAGUAGUGCUACCUGGGAAGCCCCACUCAUGAUGGUGAUAGAGGCAUAAAUAAGAAAGUAGACCCUAACAGAUUAGAAGUUUGAGCCCCAAGUCAAGUCGAAGGAAAUAAAUCCAGCCUUUGGUUGAAGGGGCUGCAAAGUUACAUGGCAAAGUGUUGCUUAAGAAAUGGAGUCCGCAUUUACCUCUGCAUUCAAGUAUGUUGGACCCUUCACCAUGGCCCAGUUAUCAAGCUCUUUCCAUUCUUUAAAAGUGGUACAGUGUUCAGUCUGAUGUUGUCUGCCUACUGCUCUUCUCCAUUACUGAAAUCCCUGUCUUUGCUUCUAUUUCAAAUGCUGCUAAUUCAGCUCUUGGUCCUUUCUGUCAUACUCUAGAUUUUUAUUUCAUUGAUUUUUGCCACUUCAUUAUUGUCUCAUUACUAUUUUUUAACUUUCAAAAUGGAAUGUGUAACUCCUUGAUUUUCUGAUGUUCUUUUCUUCUAUUAUAAAAAUGUAGGUUUUAAAAGGCUUGUCAGUUUUCCCCCUGGAAGAUGCUAUAGCUUUAUCCCAAUGUUUCGUUGUGUAUUGUUUUGUGUUUUGUGUAGACUUUAACUGUCCUGUUUACAGUACUUGAAGUUUUUCAUUCGCGUGUCUUGUUUGUAACUGUUGGGUGCAGAGUACAAGACAUGGUAGCUGUAUUGCUCAGUGUUUUUACUAAGCUUCUGCCCUCAGCUCUGUCUGUUGUUGGGAAAAGUGUGUCUAAAUAUUCCACUUUGUUGCUGGUUUUGUCCAUUACUCCUUGUUCUAACACUUUUUACUUUAUGUAUUUUGAAGCACUUAUAUUAGAUACACAUAAAUUUUCAGUUGUUAAAAAUUUUUUUCUGGUAAGUUGAACAUUUUGUCAUUUACAUCUGUUAGUGAUUUUUGCCUUAAAGUCUAUUUGUUUUACAUUGAUAGUUUAAGUCUACUAUAUCUUCUGUCUUUUAUGGUGAAUUUUUCUGUGGUCUUUUGUUUUGAGUAUUUGGAUUAAAACAAAAACUUCAAUCUGAUAAUCUGUCUCUGAGCUGGUGAUUUUAUUUAUUGUGAUUGCUAAGGCAUACAAAUGCAUUUCUAUCAUUGAUUAUUUAGUACUUUUAAAUUUCUUCUAUCCAUUUUCUCUCAAGGAUUGAUUUCUUUUUUCUAUUGCUAGGUAGAAGGUAGUAAACUCCAUUUCUGUGACACUUUGGCGUUGACCCUGUAUGCCUAUGGCUGUCUCUGAUUUCUUUGUGAACCAUGUAGAAACCAG